GACGAACGCUGGCGGCGUGCCUAAUACAUGCAGGUAGAACGCUGAAGAGAGGAGCUUGCUCUUCUUGGAUGAGUUGCGAACGGGUGAGUAACGCGUAGGUAACCUGCCUUGUAGCGGGGGAUAACUAUUGGAAACGAUAGCUAAUACCGCAUAACAAUGGAUGACACAUGUCAUUUAUUUGAAAGGGGCAAUUGCUCCACUACAAGAUGGACCUGCGUUGUAUUAGCUAGUAGGUGAGGUAAUGGCUCACCUAGGCGACGAUACAUAGCCGACCUGAGAGGGUGAUCGGCCACACUGGGACUGAGACACGGCCCAGACUCCUACGGGAGGCAGCAGUAGGGAAUCUUCGGCAAUGGGGGCAACCCUGACCGAGCAACGCCGCGUGAGUGAAGAAGGUUUUCGGAUCGUAAAGCUCUGUUGUAAGUCAAGAACGGGUGUGAGAGUGGAAAGUUCACACUGUGACGGUAGCUUACCAGAAAGGGACGGCUAACUACGUG
RNAcentral lists this ribosomal RNA (497 nucleotides) under uncultured bacterium. RNAcentral describes it as "partial 16S ribosomal RNA". It matches the Rfam family "Bacterial small subunit ribosomal RNA", at positions 28 to 507 of the family's 1533-position model. The record is from RNAcentral.